GACAGAGUGCAGCAGUCCUGCCCUGCCCCGGCCAGAACAGUAGUCUGGAAUACUGAGAGCUUUCUUUUUUUUUUUUUUUUCCAGCAACCUCAAAAAGCAGCCAAUCACAGCGCUCUAGCCCCAGGGCUGGCCUCAACCAGCCAAUCAGAGCAGAGUCAGCGUGUCACCUGACAGAAAGUGCCCCUGUCUAUCACGCCAGUCAUAUAUAGCUCAUUCCAGCAGCCUGAGACGAGGCUGUGAGUGCGUGUGUGUGUGUGUGUGGGACCGGCUGAGGACUCAGUGUACCCACAGUUUUGCUUUGAGACCGACUGCAUGUGUGCACUUCACAAGUGUGUGAAAAGAAUUGUAUGGAGAGAACAAAUAUAUAUAUAUGUAUAUAUAUAAAAGACUGGAAGUUAACUCAUUUUGGCGUUCAAGAAUGACUGGAGGCUACUUUUUUGUUGUUGUUGUUGUAAUUCUGAAAGCUCAGCGUGACGUCCGGUGUGCGUACAGCACAGAAGAGUGAAGUGAUGAAGAGGACUGGAAGUCGCUCGUCUCUGACCCCGCACAAUGAGCUGUAACGUGACGGCAGCCGACAGACGCCAUCAUGGAAAUGUCACGGCCAACAUCAGAGAGCUCGCCAGCCUCCUCUUUCAUUCCCUUAAUCCACAAUCCCUCCUCUCCUCAUCUCUCCAUACAUAUUCAGCAGCUCAAGUCUUCACCAUUCUAAUGAGGGCUCGACCGGCGUGCUAUGAAAGAGAGCGCAGAGAGAGAGGGAUAUAUAUAUAAAUAUAUACGGGGAGGUGGGCGGACGGAUGGAUGGGGCUUUAGACCAGAGCAGAGAACGACUGUCUUUGAACUCCGAAAGAGAAAGACGGAUGACAGAUGAGGAUGAAUAGAAGGAUGCUGAUGAGAGAAGGAGCGAGAGAUCAAUGCUGAACAAUCUGUACAGCGGGGUUAGUCGUGUUGCGUUUAAAUGCUGCUUUAAAGUCGACGUGCAAUCAAAAAUUACAAUGUGUAUUUGGCUAGCGCAAAUUGUUAUUGUUUAGGUCAACUAUUAAUCUGCGCGAAAAGGUUGUUUAGGUAAUUAAAGAACUGAGACUCCAAUCAAAUUCUGUUGGCGUGAACUUAAGGGCUUCCAUUGCAACUGGUAAUUCAUAUUUAUAGCCACGCCCCUCUUAUUAGCAACUGUGCGUUAAUAUUCGUAGCCACACCCUUCUUAUUUGUUACCUGAAAAAAAUGAUGCACAAAAAGAAAGCUCCGCCCUCUACUGAAUAUUCAAUUUCAGUUGGAAGCACAUCAACAUACUGAAAUAAAAGUCUAAGCAACUUCCCAUUCACACUUUAAAGUGCGCGUGAAAUGAAAAAUUUGAAUAUUUAAUUGGCUAGCGCACAUUGUUAUUUUUUAGGUGAACUAUUAAUCUGUGCUAAAAAGUCGUUAUGGUAAUAAAGGAUUUGAUUUGAGUCGCAGUUCUUAUGUUGACGUCAAUUUAAGGGCUUCCAUUGGAACUGGUGAAUCAUAUUUAUAGCCACGCCUUUCUUAUUAGCAGUUGUGCAUUAAUAUUUGUAGCCACACCCCUCUUAUUAGUUACCUAUAAUGGAAUGAUGCACAAAAAGAAAGCUCCGCCUCCUACUUAAUAUUCAGUUUCAGUUGGAAGCACAUCAACAUACUGAUAAAAAAAAAAGUCUCAGCAAAUUCUGGUUCACGCCGACUUUAAAGUUCACGUGAAAUCAAAAAUGUAACUAUUUAUUUGCUAGCGCACAUUGUUAUUGUGUAGGUGAACUUUUAAUCUGUGCAAAAAAGUCAUUUUGGUGAUUAAGGCUUU
Molecule: non-coding RNA, 1804 nt
Organism: Danio rerio (zebrafish)
Lineage: Eukaryota; Metazoa; Chordata; Actinopteri; Cypriniformes; Danionidae
Source: RefSeq, a predicted model, not a curated record